CCGACGACGACGACCGCCGCGCAGGAAGGAAGGUUUAGGUAGUCGUAAACUAGCUUUUCUCGGGGAAGAGAGAGGACGGUACCCGAGGAAGAAGCCCCGGCUAACUACGUGC
RNAcentral lists this ribosomal RNA (112 nucleotides) under uncultured bacterium. RNAcentral's name for it is "partial 16S ribosomal RNA". The record is from RNAcentral.